AGGGUUCGAUUCUGGCUACAGGACGAACGCUGGCGGCGUGCUUAACACAUGCAAGUCGAACGAGGUUAAGUGAAGGAAGUCUUCGGAUGGAAUUAUUAACCGAGUGGCGGACGGGUGAGUAACGCGUGAGGAACCUGUCUUCUACAGGGGGAUAACGGUCCGAAAGGAUUGCUAAUACCGCAUAAGACCACGGAAUCGCAUGGUUCAGGGGUCAAAGGAGAAAUCCGGUAGAAGGUGGACUCGCGUCCCAUUAGAUAGUUGGUGAGGUAACGGCCCACCAAGUCGACGAUGGGUAGCCGACCUGAGAGGGUGAUCGGCCACAUUGGAACUGAGAUACGGUCCAGACUCCUACGGGAGGCAGCAGUGGGGAAUAUUGGGCAAUGGGCGAAAGCCCUGACCCAGCAACGCCGCGUGAGGGAAGAAGGUCUUCGGGUUGUAAACCUCUGUCCUUGGUGAAAAGGAAGGAUGGUAGCCAAGGAGGAAGCUCCGGCUAACUACGUGCCAGCAGCUGC
RNAcentral lists this ribosomal RNA (512 nucleotides) under uncultured bacterium. RNAcentral describes it as "bacterial SSU rRNA". It matches the Rfam family "Bacterial small subunit ribosomal RNA", at positions 8 to 518 of the family's 1533-position model. The record is from RNAcentral.